GGCUCAAUAACAAGUAGCGACUUAACCAAAGAUCUGGAAAACUGGGAAACUAGGGUAACCAUGCUAGACCAAGAUGCUGGAGAGUUUUGAUUAAAUAUAUAUGACCUUUGAUUGGACUGGUCCGAUCAGGCAAUUGUUGAGGAAUGGCCCACCAAACCUAUAACCGGUACGGAAUCUGAGAGGUGGAGCCCGGAGAUGGGUACUGAGAAAAGGACGCAGGCCGUAUGGGGCGCAGCAGGCGCGAAACUUCUGCAAUAGGCGAAAGCCUGACAGGGUUACUAUGAGUAACUCUCGUUAAGAAAGUCUUUGGACACCUAUAAGAACGAUGUCGAAUAUGGGGUGGGCAAGUGUGGUGUCAGCCGCCGCCGUAAUAUCAGCACCCUGAGUGGUGGGAACGAUUAUGAGGCUUAAAGCAUCAGUAGCCGGCCUUACAAGUCCUCCGGUAAAUCCAGCUGAUUAACAGAUGGGUAGCGGAGGAUCAUAUAAGACUGUGAGGCAGGAGAGGCAAGCCGUACUCAGUGGGUAGGGGUAAAAUCUGCAGAUCCAUUGAAGUCCCCCAGCGGCGAAGGCGGCUUGCCAGAAGGCGGAUGGCGGUGAGCGUUGAAAGCUGGGGGAGCAAACGGGGAAAGGAUGACUGGGGUAGUACCAGAUGUAAUUGAGGCAGACUAGGUGAUGGACCAUCUUAAUGCUAGUAAAGGGCGGCCGGGAAGCCGUAAAGUGAGUCGCUAUGGGUAGUAACGGUGGCAAGACGUGAAAAUGAAAGGAAUCGGCGGGGGAGCAGCGCAAGGGGGGAAGCCUGCGGAUCA
RNAcentral lists this ribosomal RNA (806 nucleotides) under uncultured soil archaeon. Its description in RNAcentral is "bacterial SSU rRNA". It matches the Rfam family "Archaeal small subunit ribosomal RNA", at positions 87 to 904 of the family's 1478-position model. The record is from RNAcentral.